GGCUGUAGCUCUGUGGCAGAGCAUCUGCUUUGCAUGCAGAAGGCCCCAGGUUCAAUCCCCAGCAUCGCCA
This 70-nucleotide transfer RNA is filed under the name Podarcis lilfordi (Lilford's wall lizard). RNAcentral describes it as "tRNA.Ala". It matches the Rfam family "tRNA". Rfam says of the family: Transfer RNA (tRNA) molecules are approximately 80 nucleotides in length. Their secondary structure includes four short double-helical elements and three loops (D, anti-codon, and T loops). Lineage: Eukaryota; Metazoa; Chordata; Lepidosauria; Squamata; Lacertidae. The record is from RNAcentral.